This 425-nucleotide ribosomal RNA is filed under the name uncultured bacterium. RNAcentral's name for it is "bacterial SSU rRNA". It matches the Rfam family "Bacterial small subunit ribosomal RNA", at positions 354 to 796 of the family's 1533-position model. The record is from RNAcentral.
GUGGGGAAUAUUGGACAAUGGGCGAAAGCCUGAUCCAGCAAUGCCGCGUGAGUGAUGAAGGCCUUAGGGUUGUAAAGCUCUUUUACCAGGGAUGAUAAUGACAGUACCUGGAGAAUAAGCUCCGGCUAACUCCGUGCCAGCAGCCGCGGUAAUACGGAGGGAGCUAGCGUUGUUCGGAAUUACUGGGCGUAAAGCGCACGUAGGCGGUUACUCAAGUCAGAGGUGAAAGCCCGGGGCUCAACCCCGGAACUGCCUUUGAAACUAGGUAACUAGAAUCUUGGAGAGGUCAGUGGAAUUCCGAGUGUAGAGGUGAAAUUCGUAGAUAUUCGGAAGAACACCAGUGGCGAAGGCGACUGACUGGACAAGUAUUGACGCUGAGGUGCGAAAGCGUGGGGAGCAAACAGGAUUAGAUACCCGUGUAGUCC